UGCUCCACCGGAUCGUCAGCAGGCCGUCUUAAUGGCAAUGAAGGUGUCCUGUGCAUACAGAGAGAAGUCUAACCUUUCCUCUCCCACCUGCACAACUGCUAGAUGAGUCCACUGCCUUGGUCCAAGCAAAAAGGCUCCUUCAUGCAGAAGGGUCACUCUGGACAUUACGCUAUCGCUCCUGUCAGAAUGUUUAUCAAUGACGACCUGUCAUCUGGAGUUUGUGUGGAGUUAUAUUAUUCACACAAAGUUAAAAACAUGUCAUUCUAUCAGCGAAUCACUAAUUUGCCCACUGUACAACUGCUCAACUCAUCAAGAGCUCCUGUAUUUGCCAUGGUAAGAAUUUUCUUCCUGUGUGUGCGUGUAUCAUUAUGAUGAUUAUAAAAAACAGUUUCCUACAGGUGUGUUAGAUAUGGAUCCACUGUUGUGCACCGUGCACAUUUUAUACAAGCAUGCCACAAAAAAGGCAACAAUGCCUUCUUAAGGCUUCAAAGGAGGCCAAGGCACUGGCAUCUCACAACACAUGCUAUGUCAGGAACACUGUCCAAGAUAAAAAAGAUGGCUUAUGAAGAAGCUAAAAAGAUAUGUCAGCCCAUUACCUCAACUCCAUCAGUGGUGCAGUACCUUGGCCAGCUUAUUCUGACCUUUGGCAAAAACAACGGCCAAAGUUUUAAAUGGCUGGUGGAGAACGAUGUUGGCUACAUUAAGUAUCUGUUUGAUCUGCACAUAAAGAAAGCCAUCCCAAAAGAAAAGCUAGCCCUGACAAGUGUGUGAAGGACUGCUGAGGUAUGCGCAGCUGUUUCCACAAGUCUCCUGUCACCUCGAGGUCAAUGUGGACAGGACCAUAUAUGGGCAGGGCUGCUUCAGGUCAUUUACAUUCCUGGAGAUGUGGCAGUGGUACAGCCUCCACAAGACUCCAGCCUGACCUGCAAGCUGGGACUGAUCAUGAGAGAAAAAUGGCACAGGAGGCGUACUGCUCUGUGAAGCAAUGGCUGGUGAUCAAUGAGAAGGACAUCACCACCAAAUCAGGUGCUUCAGGCGGUACAUUCUUGACAAAGAGGCACCUCUCGAACUCAUGUACGUGGACCGUGGCUGCUGCAGAGUCUACUGUCUUCUGUGAAACAGCUCUUCAGUGAGUGGACAUACAGGGGUAUGCUGGUACGGCUCGACAUCUUUCAUUUGGUCCCUCGAUUUGAUGUGGCCCUGCGGAUGGAUCACCACCUGAAGUAUGCCCUGUUUAUAUCCGCCCUCUCCACGAGUCUGUCCUCGCUGCAGCCUGUAGCACGAUGACGUAGCUGGAUCAGAUCCAAUACGUACUGGAUGUCUGACACGUAUGCGUGGUAUAGGGACUGGUAUUGAAGCUAGUAUUUAAUGUAAAUUAAACUGUAUUUAUGAGUUAUAGGUGCGUUUCAUAGGCUUACACAAAUAAUAUUAUACUGUGAUUUUAAACUAGUAAGUGUAUUCAAACUUUAAGCAACAAUGGCGUAGUUUCAAUGAAAGUUUUAGGAUGUAAGUUAUGUUUAUUUUUUUAUUUGUUUGAUUCAUUUUGGAAAUAAAAAUCUGC
Labeo rohita (rohu) is the source of this 1561-nucleotide long non-coding RNA. RefSeq lists it as uncharacterized. The record is from RefSeq and is a predicted model, not a curated record. Lineage: Eukaryota; Metazoa; Chordata; Actinopteri; Cypriniformes; Cyprinidae. The transcript has 3 exons.